Molecule: ribosomal RNA, 1417 nt
Filed under: metagenome
Description: bacterial SSU rRNA
Rfam family: Archaeal small subunit ribosomal RNA
Source: RNAcentral
GGUUGAUCCCGCCGGAGGUUACUGCUAUCUGAAUCCGACUAAGCCAUGCAAGUUCUGGGUUAAACCAGGGCGCAAAGCUCAGUAACACGUAGUUAACCUGCCCUUAUGUUUGGUAUAAUCUUGGGAAACUAAGGAUAAAACCGAAUAGGUAAGAGUUACUGGAAUGUUUUUUUACUGAAAUAAGGAUGGGACUGCGGCUGAUUAGGUUGUUGUUGAGGUAAAGGCUCGACAAGCCUAUAAUCAGUACGGGCCUUGAAAGAGGGAACCCGGAGAUGGAUUCUGAGACAAAAAUCCAGGUCCUACGGGACGCAGCAGGCGCGGAACUUUCGCAAUGCACGCAAGUGUGACGGAGGGAUUUAGAGUGCAUUCUCAACAUUGAGGAUGCUUUUGCCAAGUGUAAAUAGCUUGGAGAAUAAGGGGUGGGUAAGACGGGUGCCAGCCGCCGCGGUAAUACACGCGCCCCAAGUAGUAACCACGCUUAUUGGGCUUAAAGCAUUCGUAGCCGGUUUGGUAAGUUUUCAAUGAAAUCCCGCAGCAAACUGUGGGGCUUGUUGGAAAUACUACCAGACUUGAGACCGGGAGAGGUUAAGGGUAUUCUGUGGGUAGGGGUAGAAUCCUAUAAUCCUCAGAGGACCACCUGUGGCGAAGGCGCUUAACCAGAACGGAUCUGACGGUGAGGGAUGAAAGCCAGGGUAGCAAAGGGGAUUAGAUACCCCUGUAGUCCUGGCCGUAAACAAUGCCCACUCGGCAUUGGCAAUCUUACGUGGGUUGCCAGAGCCUUAGGGAAACCGUUAAGUGGGCCGCCUGGGGAGUACGUUCGCAAGGAUGAAACUUAAGGGAAUUGGCGGGGGAGCACACAAGGGGUGGAGGCUGCGGUUCAAUUCGAUUCAACGCGAGGAACCUUACCAGAAGCGACAGCAGAAUGAAGGUCAGGCUGAUGGUCUUACCCGACCAGCUGAGAGGUGGUGCAUGCCGUCGUCAGUUCGUGGCGUGAGCUGUCGACUUAAGUGUCGUAACGAACAAGACCCACACCCUAUGUUACUAAGAUACCGGUUUCGGUGUCUGUACUUAUAGGGGACCGCUGCUGAUAAAGCAGAGGAAGGAGUGGUCGACGGCUGGUCCGUAUGCUCUGAAUCUUCUGGGUUACACGCGGCCUACAAUGGUAGGGACAAUGGGAUGCGACUCCGAAAGGAGAAGCUAAUCUCCAACCCCUAUCUCAGUCCGAAUUGAGGGCUGCAACUCGCCCUCAUGAAGCCGAAAUCCCUAGUAGGCGCUGGUCAUCAUCUAGCGUCGAAUAUGUUCCUGCUCCUUGCACACACUGCCCGUCAAGCCAACCGAGUGGAGUUUUGGUGAGCUUUUACCGUUUUGGUAGAAUCGAGCCUGAGCUUUGCAAGGUGGGCUAAGUCGUAACAAGGUA